UCCACCAUUGCUCAGAAUAGAUCAAAGAGCUUAAUAGAUAAAGAUGAAGCAGAUUUCUAAUACAUAUCAGGCUACAAUAUUAUAACACUUCUAGCAACUUGCAAUGUUAGUAUCUUUAUUUUUGUGUAAGAAAUAGCAAAAUUAUUAAACUUUCCAUCAAACUUAACCUUAAGUACUCUAGACUAUCGAGAACUUUGCCGGC
This 202-nucleotide long non-coding RNA is filed under the name Elaeis guineensis (African oil palm). RNAcentral's name for it is "long non-coding RNA (EGUI_LNC028822)". Lineage: Eukaryota; Viridiplantae; Streptophyta; Magnoliopsida; Arecales; Arecaceae. The record is from RNAcentral.